AUUGGGUAUUCAUUCCUUUUUUAGUUCACCUAUCAUUGGCUUUUAAAAAGAGAUUUUAGUAACUUUCUCCCUUGGACCUUCUUGAUGAUUGAACCCAUCUAGUUUCUAAGUCACCUGUUGAUGCACAAAAUCAGUGAUGACUUUGGUACAACAGAAAGUGUUAAGUUUGUGACCUUCGCUAGAUUGCUCCGGUCACUAGUGUGGAUAAAUAUGUAAAUGGAUAGAGACAGGGAAGCAAACACAAGAUGUACGUGGUUCACCUAGAUUGGCUACGUCCACGGAGUAGAGGAGUUCUCAUUAAUUGUGAAGGGUUUACACAAGUACAUAGGUUCAAGCUCUCAUUUAGUGAGUACUAGUGAAUGAUUUAGUACAAAUGACAUUAGGAAAUAUUGUGAAAGAAUGAUCUCUAUUUAUAGAAGAGGGUUUCUAGUUUCAUUCUGACAUUGACACAUGUCGUGUUGUGAUUGGCUUCUGAUGUUGACACGUGUCGCGCUAUGAUUGGCUUCUGAUGUCAACACGUGUCGCACUAUGAUUGGCCUCCUGGUUGGAAGGAAACUCUUCUGGGUCCUUGACGGUAUAACGUUGACCGAUGCUCAGUAGUUUCGGGAUUGGUCAAGUAUGGUACAAACAGUGCUCCCCUAAGUUCCCGAGUGAGGGAAGCUCCUUGGUUGGGGACUUGCAAGAUCCAAGCCAUUGAGUAAUCACGAAACUUCUAAGUACCGAAGUGUGGUAUCAUUUUCACUUGCCUUAUGUGUCUCAUACGUAGAUGUGGCAUUUUCUCUGUAAGUACUUUUCCUCCAUCCAGGGGUGGUAUCUUUAACCGAUGAAGAUGCACAAGGUAAUGUAUCAAUUUCACUUGAAGCUUACUUGUAGUUUCAGGCUUGGUCAAGUGCGAUACAAAACCCUAUAGUAGGAGUCCCCCAAGUCGCCGAGCUAGGAGAUUUUCCGAAAGAGGUAACAGACAAGGUAAGCAAUCAGACUUCCAAGCAAACAACCUGGAUUGGAGGUUCGACUUCGGCUUCCGGUUGAUUGUUCUCCUUCUCCUUGUGUCGUAAACAGCAACAAGGAUAAGGAUAAUCAAAUGAAGAAGAGAUGAUAUGAGAUACUUUUGCUUUUGAAGAAGUAACUUUCCACAUGCUUAUUCUUGAAUUGGGCUUGAGGGUUUUCUGGUUUCCUCCAGAGUAUAAGGCCGACUCAAGAAUUUGAGGGUCAAAACAAGUCCAUUAAAUCAAGAGUGCGUUCGACCUUGAUGAUAUGUGAUACUUUUGCUGUUGACGAAGUAAUAGAUGAAUCGACAUAUGUUUUGUUGCGCUUGUCUCCACAUGCUUCCUUGUAUCUUUCUCACUUAGCCUAUCCGUUCCUCAGGCAGAUGUGGUGUCUUUUCUGGAAGCAUAAAAUGUUAAAGAUGAGUACUCGAGAGCAAUAUCAGGUAAGUAAUCAGGCAAUGGGUUCCAGGCAGUCAGUUUCUGACUGGAAGCUUGAUUCCAAGUGCUGACUGAUUGCUCUCUUUCUCCUUGUCUUGUAGGUAAGAACAAGGACAAAGGAAAAGACAGGGAAAAAGCAUGAUAUGGGAUACUCUUACUUUUAACCCUGAUGAUAUGAGAUACUCUUGCUCUUGUGUGGCUGGUUUGCAUAUGUAUUAUUGGGGGAAAGAAAGCUGAGUAUUUCGAGAGGCUUCGUUAGAGUGCCCUCUCAGAUAUGAGGAAGGGUUGAGCAUUUUUGCAGGUCUGUCGGUCCGUGGAGGAUGGAGGUUGACAUAUAUAGGAGUCUCCCUAACAACAAGUAAUAAUGCUAUUCCUUUACCCAUCUUGGUCGUAAUAAUGUAGUGGGAGCUGCAAGCUUCACAUGUUUUAACUUUGUUAGAGCACUUUGAAAAAGUGGUAUGUGGUAUCUGGAAAGCUGAUGUUGUGUGUGAAGAUUGCAGACAAGCUUUAUCCAAGGAAAUCUGGUUCUCGAAGUUCGGAGAGCGAUGCCUCUUCGGUUUUCGAACAAGCAAUCCUGUCGGGGAUCUUGCUCUCGAGAUUCGGAGAGCGGUGCCUCUUCGAUUUUUGAGAAAGCAAUCCUGUUGGGAGUCUGGCUCUUGAGAUUCGGAGAGCGAUGCCUCUUCAAUUUUUGAGAAAGUAAUCCUAUUGGGAGUUUGGCUCUCGAGAUUCGGAGUGCGGUGCCUUUUCGAUUUUUAAGCAAGUAAUAAUGCUAUUCCUUUACCUUUCUUGGUCAUAGCAAUGUAGUGAGAGCUGCAAGCUUCACAUGUUUUAACUUUGUCAGAGCGCUUUGAAAAAGUGGUCUGUGGAAUCAGAAAGCUGAUGUUGCAUGUGAAGAUUGCAGACAAGCUUUAUCCAAGGAAAUCUGGCUCUCGAAGUUCGAAGAGCGGUGCCUCUUCGGUUUUCGAACAAGCAAUCCUGUCGAAGAUCUGGCUCUCGAGAUUCAGAGAACAGUGCCUCUUUGAUUUUUGAGAAAGCAAUCAUGUUGGAAGUCUGACUCUUGAGAUUCAGAGAGCAGUGUCUCUUCGAUUUUUGAGCUAGCAAUCUUGUUGGGAGUGUUUUCUUGAAUGUGAGUAAAGGUUGGGCAUUUUUGCCAGUCUGCCUUGCCACGGAGCACGGAGGUUGACACAUUGGGACUUUCUAGUUAUCAAGCAGUAGUGUUGUUCCUUUACCCUUGUGGGUAAUAAUAAGGUAGUUGGACCUUCAAAAUUUAUGUGUCUAAACUUUGUCAGAGAUAUUUGGCAAAGUUAUUUGUGGUACACGAGGAGCUGAUGUUGUGUGUGGAAAGUGGUGCCUCUUCGAAAUCCGGAGAGUGGUGCCUCUUCGAUUUUUGAACCAACGGCCCUGUUGUCAUUUCUUUUAUAAGGGCACCAAUUGUGUGCAAGGAGUACAUUCAGAGAGUUAUUGCUUGUAGGAAUUUUUCCCUUACUUCAGAGAUUUAUUGCACCUCAUCAUUUAUGAGAAUGUCUGGCCCAUCCGACCGUCGUUUUGACUUGAACUUUGGUGAAGAGGCAGCCAUACCUUCUCAAGACAACAUAUGGCGCCCAUCAUUCUUAUCCCCUACUGGUCCUCUUAUAGUUGGGGACUUUGUGAUAAAGAAUGAUAUGACUGCUGCGGUGAUGGCCACGAACCUUCUUACUCCUAAAGAUAACAGACUACUUUUCAAGCGGUCUGAUGAGUUAGCUGUUAAGGAUUCUCUGGCUCUUAGUGUUUAGUGUGCAGGUUUUGUGUCUAAUAUGGCCCAACGCCUAUUUGCUCGAACCCGCCAAGUUGAAUCAUUGGCGGCUGAAGUGAUAAGUCUCAAACAGGAGAUCAGAGGGCUCAAGCAUGAGAAUAAACAGUUGCACAGGCUCGCACAUGACUAUGCUACAAACAUGAAGAGGAAUCUCGACCAGCUGCAGGAAUCUAAUGUUCAGAUUUUACUUGAUCAUCAGAGGUUUGUGGGUUUGUUCUAAAGACAUUUAUUGCCUUCGUUUUCUGAGGCUGUACCGCGUAAUGAAGCUCUAAAUGAUCAACCUUUGGUGCCUCCUCAUUCUGGGGUUCUGCCUAGUACUGAGGCUCCGAAUAAUCACCCUCUGGUGCCUCCUCUUUCUGAGGCUCUGCCGACUGUUAAGACUUCUCCUGAGCAACCUUUGUGAAGGCUUUCUCUUGUUUAUUUAUUUUGAUUCAUGAAUAUGUACAUAUUUGUAACUUAUCGGAGGUAUCAAUAAACGAUUUGCUUCAUUUCAACGUAUUGUGUUAAAUACACCAAGGGCUUCUUCACUAAGUUCUUUGAAUUUUUCCUUUUGUUGAAGCUUGUAUGUUGAAGUUUUGUGAGUGAAGCAUGUAGGUUGAGGUAGUGCUCCCUUAAUUUCCCGAGUGAGGAAAACUUCUCGUUUGGAGACUUGAAAAAUCCAAGUCACUGAGUGGUCGUGAGACUUCCGAGUAUCACGGUGCAGUAGCAUAUGGUAGGAGUCGCCCAAGUCUCCGAUCGAGGGAGUUAACGAAUGAGGCAUUUCCUUUCUAAGUGGUAGCCCAAAACUCCUUCUUCAUAUAUAUUUGUUAUGAAAGUUAUUAGGACCAAAGAAGAGGAGGCCUAGGCAAUUUUUUUUUCUUCGAAUUUUCGAAUUUUUAAAUUUCCGAAUUUUUGAAUUUUCGAAUUUUUGAAUUUUUGAAUUUUUGAAUUUCCGAAAAUAUAUAUAUAUAUAUAUAUAUAUAUAUAUUUUAAAGCUUUGUAGGUGAAGCUUUGAGGUUGAAGCUUUGUUGGGCACCAUGAAUUGAUUUUGCUUCACACUAUCUUAAUCAAGAUAGUGUGAAGCUUUUGUGUUGAAGCUUUUGUGGGUGAAGCUUUUGUGGGUGAAACUUUUGUAGGUGAAACUUUUGUAGGUGAAGCUUUUGUGGGUGAAGUUUUUGUAGGUCAAGCGUUUGUGGGUCAAGCUUUUAUGGGUGAAGCUUUUGUGGGUCAAGCUUUUGUGGGUCAAGCUUUUGUAGGUGAAGCUUUUGUGUUGAAGCUUUUGUGGGUGAAGUUUUUGUGUUGAAGCUUUUGUAGGUGAAGCUUUGGAGUUGAAGCUUUGUAGGUGAAGCUUUGGAGUUGAAGCUUUUGUUGGGUACCAUGAAUUGAUUUUUCUUCACACUAUCUUGAUCAAGAUAGUAUGAAGCUUUUGAGAAUUUGUAGUUAUCCUCCAUUGAUGAAGCUUUUGUUGGUGAAGCUUUGGAGUUAAAGUUUUGUAGGUGAAGCUUUGGAGUUGAAGCUUUGGAGUUGAAGCUUUGUAGGUGAAGCUUUGGAGUUGAAGCUUUUAUUGGGUACCAUGAAUUGAUUUUGCUUCACACUAUCUUGAUCAAGAUAGUGUGAAGCUUUUGAGAAUUUGUAGUUGUCUUCCAUUGAUAAAGCUUUGUUGAAUUUCCCAUUUUUUUUUUUGGGAAACUAGAAAUUUGAAAAUGUGGGAGAGACAACUUAUACAAAUUUUGCUUCCACACUGUUGAGUAAGAGAUUGUGAUACAAGCCACACCUUGUAGUAGUCGAAGGUUUGGAUGAACCAUAUAAAUUGAAUUUGCUUUGAAGGUCUGAGAAUUGUAGUUGCCCUCCAUUGAUGAAGCUUUUGUUGACACCAUAAAUUGGUUUUGCUUUACACUGUCUUGAUCAAAAGUGUGAAGCUUUUGAGAAUUGUGGUUGAACUCCUUUGAUGAAGCUUUUGUUGGCACCAUAAAUUGGUUUUGCUUCACACUGUCUUGAUUAAAAGUGUCUUAAGCUUUUGAGAAUUGUGGUUGCCCUCCAUUGAUGAAGCUCUUGUUGACACUAUAAAUUGGUUUUGUUUCACACUGUCUUGAUCAAGAAUGUGUGAAGCUUUUGAGAAUUGUGGUUGAACUCUUUUGAUGAAACUCUUGUUGGCACCAUAAAUUCGUUUUGCUUCACACUGUCUUGAUCAAGAGUGUGUGAAGCUUUUGAGAAUUAUGGUUGCCCUUUAUUGAUGAAGCUCUUGUUGGCACCAUAAAUUGGUUUUGCUUCACACUGUCUUGAUCAAGAGUGUGUGAAGCUUUUGAGAAUUGUGGUUGAACUCCUUUGAUGAAGCUCUUGUUGGCACCAUAAAUUUGUUUUGCUUCACACUAUCUUGAUCAAGAGAGUAUGAAUCUUUUGAGAAUUGUGGUUGCCUUCCAUUGAUGAAGCUCUUGUUGGCACCAUAAAUUGGUUUUGCUUCACACUGUCUUGAUCAAGAGUGUGUGAAGCUUUUGAGAAUUGUGGUCGCCCUUUAUUGAUGAAGCUCUUGUUGGCACCAUAAAUUGGUUUUGCUUCACACUGUCUUGAUUAAGAGUGUGUGAAGCUUUUGAGAAUUGUGGUUGCCAUCCAUUGAUAAAGCUCUUGUUGGCACCAUAAAUUGGUUUUGCUUCACACUGUCUUGAUCAAGAGUGUGUGAAGCUUUUGAGAAUUGUGGUUGCCUUCUAUUGAUGAAGCUCUUGUUGGCACCAUAAAUUGGUUUUGCUUCACACUGUCUUGAUCAAGAGUGUGUGAAGCUUUAUACGAGUUGUAGUGUUUGCAUUGUUACAGAGGGGAAAUGUCUGAAACAUAUGCAAGAGGGCUGAAUAGCUUGAUCUUCGUAUGCCAUGCAUUGAAGUUGUUGUUGGCUUGCAAUAAGACUUUAUUGGUGACUAUAACUCUUGUUGGGCAUAAGUGUUCCCCUAGUUGAGUCGUCAAGCUUGAGGGUGUUUUGAUUAUUUGUGAAUGCUAGGAGUUCAUAUGUACAAGUUGUACCACUCGUCUUCUGGUAGGUGGAAUGAAUGGUGAGUUGCUUUCAUCACUUGGUUGAUGGUACGAAGGUGAGUUCCUUCUUCCCUUGGUUGGUGGCAUGAAUGGCAAGUUGUCAAAUGAUAUUAGAGUACGGAUUGUGCAUUUCAUCACCUGGUUUGUGGCAUGAAGAAGAGUACAGAUUGUACAUUUCAUCACCUGGUUGGUGGCACGAAGAUGAGUUCUUUCUUUACUUGGUUGGUGGUAUGAGUGGCAAGUUGCCAAAUGAUAUUAGAGUAUGGGUUGUACAUUUCAUCACCUGGUUGAUGGCAUGAAGGAGAGUACGGGUUGUACAUUUUAUCACCUGAUUGGUGGCAUGAAUGGCAAGUUGCCAAAUGAUAUUAGAGUACGGGUUGUACAUUUCAUCAUCGGGUUGGUGGCAUGAAGAUGAGUUCCUUCUUCACCUGGUUGGUGGCAUGAGUGGCAAGUUGCCAAAUGAUAUUAGAGUACGGGUUGUACAUUUCAUCAUUUGGUUGGUGGUAUGAAGAUGAGUUUCUUCUUCACCUGGUUGGUGGCAUGAGUGGCAAGUUGCCAAAUGAUAUUAGAGUAUGGGUUAUACAUUUUAUCACCUGGUUGGUGGCAUGAAGGAGAGUACAAGUUGUACAUUUCAUCACCUGGUUGGUGGCAUGAAGAUGAGUUCUUUCUUCACAUUUCAUCACCUGGUUGGUGAGAAUAAGGGCAAAGUGUCUAGGCACACUGUAGCAAGUGUCGAAUGACACAAAAUAUGUUGAACCAUUUCAAAGCACAAUUGGCUUAUGUAUGAAUGUGUUGAAAUGUAUGAUUGAACGAAUAUACUGUGAAGCUGUUCGUUUAUUUAUAUAGUCUUGUUGACAUAUACUUAGACUUUGUUUCAUGUUAGAAGCAUUCAUGUUGAAGCUUUGAACCCGAGUGUUUCAUUGCUAAGAAUGUAAGAGGAUUAGGAUCGAGUUGUCUAAAUCACCUCUUUAUUGAAUUCAUGCCAAAUAGUCUUCGUUACAUAGGAUGCCGAACGACUGAAGCUUAACACUUGUACAAUGUGAGUUUACUUGUAAUAGUACUUCAAGUGAUCAACGUUCCAUGGAUAGCCAAGGGUCUUGCCAUCAGAGCUUUUAAGCUUGUAGGAGCCAGGGCGACUGAUGCCAACAACUUCAAACGGUCCAUCCCAGUUUGGACUAAGUGUUCCUUCACUCGGGACUUUGUCGCAGAGUAAUCUUUUCUUCAAUACUCAGUCCCCCACUUUGAAAAAACAAGGUUUGACCCUUGAGUCAUAGUAGUUGGAGAUGCGCUGCUUGUAGGUGACAUUCCUUAAGUGAACCUGGUUUCUGUGUUCCUCGACUAGAUCUAAGUUGAGGGUAAGUUGUUUUUCAUUUUCGCUUUGCACGUAGUUCUAGACUCAGAACGUUGCUUGCUCAAGCUCAACUGGGACAACUGCCUCUGUACCAAAAACAAGUGAGAAUGAGGUUUCUCCUGUUGAUGUCCGAUACGAAGUGCGGUAUGACCAAAGAACUUGGGAUACAAAUGCUGGCCAACAACCUUUAGCCUUGUCCAAGCUGGUUUUCAAAGUUCACAUGAUAUUGAUCGAAGCCCCCGUGUUUACCAGGAUUCGUCGUACUUCAAAGUUGGCUAUAUGAGCUUCCACGAUCAGUAGGUCGUUGUGAGGGUAAAUAAUACCUCUUUCUUCCUCAGGGUAGAAACAUAUUGGAUCCCAGUUAGGCUUUUGAUACUUACCUCCCCUGAUGUCUUCCACGUGAAACACUUGGUGGCCAGACCUUAAAGCUCAUUCACUAUUUUUCGUGGCCCUGUUGGAAGAUUUAGAUAUGGGUGUGCCACCACUUAUGGAAUAUAUCACAUUUACCUGGCGUUGGUUACGGUUACCCCUUGAAGGGUGAAGAAGGAAUUAAUCAAUUUUUUCUUCACGUGCCAAAGCUUCAAUAUGAUCACGAAGGGUGAUACACUUCUCACCAUUAUGGCCGUUAUGCUCGUGGUAGCAGCAAAACGUGCCCGUGUUCUUCAUGGGCUUGUAAUCCAGGUGCCUCGGCUUUAGCUUCGGUAUCAAGUGUGCUAUGCUGGGGUAAAUGGCCAUGCAUGUGGCGUUCAAAGGUGUGUAUGCCUUAUACCUUGGGGUAGGGGCUGUCCUGACACAUGCUUGACCCACUGUGUUGACUGCUUGGGGUCGGGGAUUAUCAUGGCGAUACCCUUGGUUAUCACGGUAGUGUCCCUUACUCCUUUUACUAAAAUGAGACUGGUGAGGAUGGAAAUCUUUCCUUUUACCCUGAGAUUGAUAUGUCUGUUAACUUGGCAAAAUAUUAAGUAAGGCAGGGGGAGGCACCGCUACCGUUUGGAAGGUCGAGGUUUUCUCAUUUGGUUGGAUUUGGCUUCCACUUCCUACUUGCUGAUAAGGGGUGGUUGUGGGGGGUUUCCCUUGAUAUGUCCUUACCUCGGCAGAGGCAUGGUUGUAAGCAUGUGCCAUCACCUCAGAGUAAGUCUUCCAAGUGUUGGCAUUGAUCAUGUACUUGAAGAAACAAUCACGUAGGUCUGCCGUGAAGGCCUUGAGAGCAGUCUUGUCAUCUGCCUCAGCGCAGCGAGAAUACUUAUGGCUAAAACGACCAACAUACUCUUAUAGUGACUCGUCCAGUUUCUGGCGAAUAGUGUACAAGUCAUCCGCAGAAUGCAAGCGAUCGGUUUGGAAGAUGUGUUGAGAGAAAAACAGUUUCCUCAGUUCUUCAAAUGAGUCUACUGUCUCAGGUGGAAGACGACAAUACCAGUUUAGAGCUCCGUCAGAGAGGGUGGAGGGGAAGAGAAGACAUCGUUCUUCGUCGGUGUGCAUCCGAUAUGCCAUGGUGGACUCAAAGAGGUUAAUGUGUUUAAUUGGGUCCUCCCUUCCAGUAUAGAGUUGUAAACCAAGCUUUUGUUUUGUCUUCGCUUGAAUGGGGUGUCAAGGAUCCUCCUUGUAAGAGGGCCAGGCCUGGGUUGGUUCUAGUCAGGUAUCUCGGCCUGACGUUCGGCCUUCAACUUGUUUACUUCCUUAAGGUGCUGUAGGACAAAGGGGGUCUUGAGUGGAGUCAUGUACCACUAGGAUUUUCUUUCGUAAAUCUCCAUUGCCUCUUGGAAGUAAGAAAGUUUGAGUAAGGGCGUGUGAUUUUUCCUUGGACUAGUCAUACUGACUUCUAGGGCGAGUCUGUCGGAAUACCUCAGAGUCCCCUGUACCUUCAUGUUCCUCUAGGACAUGUCGUUCCUUCCCUAGAUUGGCAGUUAGUCUGGGUCGUGGAAGGGGACCGAGUCUUUUAGAAACCCUUGGGUCAUUGAUCUUCGAGCAUAUAUGGAGGGGAUUCUCUUGACGUUGCUUUAGGAAGUCUCGGCAAUCACGAUAAACGACUUUCGAUCCUUCCAACCUUUCUGCAAGGAGGUGUCUUCCUCCACUUCUCCUGCUUCGGGUCGAAGCAGCUGGGUUGAGAGAAGUCUCAUGUUGAUCAAUGUUUUGAUGAUUAGCUUGCUCCUCAUCAGGGAUUCCCAUGUCGAAGGAAGGUGACCCUCCGUGUUGGGGGGCACCUAGAUGAUGAUUGAUGUCUACAGGGGCAACAAGCUUGCGUGUUUGAGUACGCAUAGUUUCGUAGAGCGUCUCAAAGAGCUUUUCAUACUGCUCCUAGAGGACCUCAUUCUUCAUUGCUAUCUUGUUAUUUUGAGCUUUUAACUCAUUGACUUUAGCUUGAAGAACAACCCUCUUUCCUUCCUUCUUUCGUUGCUUCGCACUAGGUGCAAAAUGGUGUCAUUCUGUGUGUUAUGGCUUCCUUCGCUCCUCAUGUUGGAGAGGGAUACCUGGUCAAAAGAGAGUGUACUAAUGGUGGAAACCAGCUUGACAAAGCUGAAGAGAGUGAGAAUAAGUGUCAUUCCCACAGACGGUGCCAAAUGUUGAUGCACAAAAUCAGUGAGGACUUUGGUACAAUAGAAAAUGUUAAGUUUGUGACCUUCGCUAGAUUGCUCUGGUCACUAGUGUGGAUAAGUAUGUAAAUGGAUAGAGACAGGGAAGCAAACACAAGAUGUACGUGGUUCACCUAGAUUGGCUACGUCCAUGGAGUAGAGGAGUUCUCAUUAAUUGUGAAGGGUUUACACAAGUACAUAGGUUCAAGCUUUCCUUUAGUGAGUACUAGUAAAUGAUUUAGUACAAAUGACAUUAGGAAAUAUUGUGAGAGAAUAAUCUCUAUUUAUAGAAGAGAGUUUCUAGUUUCAUUCUGACAUUGACACAUGUCGUGUUGUGAUUGGCUUCUGAUGUUGACACGUGUCGCGCUAUGAUUGGCUUCUGAUGUCGACACGUGUCGCGCUGUGAUUGGCCUCCUGGUUGGAGGGAAACUCUUCUGGGUCCUUGACGGUAUAACGUUGACCGGUGCUCAGUAAUUUCGGGAUUGUUCAAGUAUGGUACAAACAUCACCCGUUAACGAUGAACUUUGAGAAAAAAAAACCAAAUUAGAAAUCAUUUAAUUUGUUGAUUAACAUUGUCAAAAUUUAUGUGAGAGAUUAAUUUCAUAAGCACUACUCGCACCUUAUAGAUUUUUAAUCACAAGCACUAGGCGCGACUUACAAAUUUAUAUUGAUAUUUUUAUUUGCCAAUGUACUUUCACUAUGCACAAAGUUGAAAUAACAAUCAAAUAAAAAGUCUAAAAUUAUAGAAAUUCGCAAGUAAUGCUUAUCAAGCGUGAUUAAGGUCAAAUCAAACUUUAAAGAGUCAAAUUGAGUUUCAAAUUCAACGAAAAUAAAAUAAAAUCGCAAAAUAGAAAAUACGUCAAUAAAUAGUGAAAUUCAGAA
RNAcentral lists this long non-coding RNA (11019 nucleotides) under Malus domestica (apple). Its description in RNAcentral is "long non-coding RNA (MDOM_LNC008912)". The record is from RNAcentral. Lineage: Eukaryota; Viridiplantae; Streptophyta; Magnoliopsida; Rosales; Rosaceae.